This 233-nucleotide ribosomal RNA is filed under the name uncultured bacterium. RNAcentral's name for it is "partial 16S ribosomal RNA". It matches the Rfam family "Bacterial small subunit ribosomal RNA", at positions 118 to 347 of the family's 1533-position model. The record is from RNAcentral.
UGGGUGACCUGCCCUCAGCUCUGGGAUAAGCCUGGGAAACUGGGUCUAAUACUGGAUAUUCACUUCCUAUCGCAGUGGUGGGUGGUUGGAAAGUUUUUAUCGGCUAGGGAUGGGCCCGCGGUCUAUCAGCUUGUUGGUGGGCAAUGGCUCACCAAGGCGGCGACGGAUAACCGGCCUGAGAGGGCGACCGGUCACACUGGGACUGAGACACGGCCCAGACCUCCGUACGGGAG